UACGGGAGUGGCAAGCGUUAUCCGGAAUUAUUGGGCGUAAAGCGUCCGCAGGCGGUCUUGUAAGUCUGUCGUUAAAGCGUGGAGCUUAACUCCAUUUAAGCGAUGGAAACUGCAAGACUAGAGUGUGGUAGGGGCAGAGGGAAUUCCCGGUGUAGCGGUGAAAUGCGUAGAUAUCGGGAAGAACACCAGUGGCGAAGGCGCUCUGCUGGGCCAUAACUGACGCUCAUGGACGAAAGCCAGGGGAGCGAAAGGGAUUAGAUACCCCUGUAGUCCUGGCCGUAAACGAUGAACACUAGGUGUCGGGGGAAUCGACCCCCUCGGUGUCGUAGCCAACGCGUUAAGUGUUCCGCCUGGGGAGUACGCACGCAAGUGUGAAACUCAAAGGAAUUGACGGGGGCCCGCACAAGCGGUGGAGUAUGUGGUUUAAUUCGAUGCAACGCGAAGAACCUUACCAGGGUUUGACAUCCUGCGAAUCCCUUGGAAGCGAGGGAGUGCCUUCGGGAACGCAGUGACAGGUGGUGCAUGGCUGUCGUCAGCUCGUGUCGUGAGAUGUUGGGUUAAGUCCCGCAACGAGCGCAACCCACGUCGUUAGUUGCCAGCAUUCAGUUGGGCACUCUAGCGAGACCGCCGGUGAUAAACCGGAGGAAGGUGUGGAUGACGUCAAGUCAUCAUGCCCCUUACAUCCUGGGCUACACACGUACUACAAUGCUACGGACAAAGGGCAGCAAACUCGCGAGAGCUAGCAAAUCCCAUAAACCGUGGCUCAGUUCAGAUCGUAGGCUGCAACUCGCCUACGUGAAGGAGGAAUCGCUAGUAAUCGCAGGUCAGCAUACUGCGGUGAAUACGUUCCCGGGCCU
Molecule: ribosomal RNA, 857 nt
Filed under: uncultured bacterium
Lineage: Bacteria
Description: SSU rRNA
Rfam family: Bacterial small subunit ribosomal RNA
Source: RNAcentral